Molecule: non-coding RNA, 1423 nt
Organism: Macaca mulatta (Rhesus monkey)
Lineage: Eukaryota; Metazoa; Chordata; Mammalia; Primates; Cercopithecidae
Source: RefSeq, a predicted model, not a curated record
ACAACAAAACCCAAAAAACAGUCAUCCUCCAGGUAGAAGAGACAGAAAAAAGGGUGCGGAAGAGACUUAAAAGUCUCAGGCCUUCAAGCGUAUUUGCCUCAGCCACCCAGGAAUCGUGCAGGAAAACUAAAACAACAUGGCGACAAGCCCCUCAGUCUUGGGGAAGCGGACGGUUUCCCAGCCGAGCUUUAGGAGGAGGCGCCGCGGGGCCUCACGGGUGACGUCGUCCCCGGGGGUAGUUUGCGCGGAGGGUCGCUUUGGGCGCGCGUAGAGCCGCGCGGCGCCUGGGCUGGCGAAUCCCAGGCACAGUCAUUUGCGGCCCUGUCCCGGCGCGCGAGGGGCCAAGGCUGGCCGGGGGCUGGGUCCGCGCGGUGGCGACUGCAUCCUGCCAUCUUCCAUCUCUCCGCCUGAGGCGGUUGCCAGAGUCAGGUCUCCAGGCCGGGCGCUCACACGUCUGUGCCCAGGGAGGCCCCAAGAUGCUGGUGAGGCCUCCACCCGGACUGGUGUCCAGGCUCUUGACACUGUCGUGAAAAGGAAUUCAUGGAGGAGCAGAGCAAAAUGUGGAGAUUCAUUGCGAAUCUCCUGAACAUACUGAAGAAAGAAAAGUGCAGGCAUACCACAGAGCAUCACGCCCAACGGGGUUUGGGGCUGCUACCUGUAAAUAUUUAUUUAACCGAGGGGUGAAAUAUUCAUGAAGGUUCUUGGAAAAAGCAUAUGAGAACUCAUAUGGGAGAGAAGCCCUGUGAAGGCAAUCAAUGGGAAGAAGCCGUCAAAUGCAGCUCAGCUUCCUUGCAGCAUGACAGAACCGAUACAGGAAAGAAAAUCUGUGAUUGUAAAGAAUGUGAUAAAGCAACAAGAAACAAGACCUCCCAGCUCAUCCUGCAUCAAAAAACUGAUUCUGGGGGAAGCCCUGUGAAUGUACUGAACGUGGGAAGGCUUUUAGUUGUCACUUGAUAUUAUGGAAAAGCAGAAUCGAAUCUUCAUAAGCAGAGAUCACGAUGAAGCACCGAAGCAUACUACACUGACUGAUCAGUUUUCUCAAAUACGUGGUUUGCACACAUCUGGAAGAAAAUUAACCGAUGGUAGUGUUGUCAUCACUAAAGAAGGCUGAGAAGUGUCAGACAAGUUGGUGAGGAAACCCCCAAACUAUGGCAAUAUUAGGAGAUGGAAAUCCAAGCCUAAUUUGGGUAUGGAAAUAAUCACAUCCUGGUGCCAUCCUGGGAGUGACCAAGCAACCUCAGAUAGAUCCUGGGAAAAGCAAGAAUGAUGCAGAAAGAAGAAACACAUGACAGGACUUGGAUGUAGGAUAGAGCUGGCAAUCAAAGCAUGUGCUUGCUGAAACUCCUAGAUACUGCUCUUCUUUCUGCCCAAACUGUGCACUCAUUGGUCAGUCAGUAUAAGUAAUAAUAACACUGAACACUUA